GAUGAACGCUGGCGGCGUGCCUAAUACAUGCAAGUCGAGCGAACGGACGAGAAGCUUGCUUCUCUGAUGUUAGCGGCGGACGGGUGAGUAACACGUGGAUAACCUACCUAUAAGACUGGGAUAACUUCGGGAAACCGGAGCUAAUACCGGAUAAUAUUUUGAACCGCAUGGUUCAAAAGUGAAAGACGGUCUUGCUGUCACUUAUAGAUGUAUCCGCGCUGCAUUAGCUAGUUGGUAAGGUAACGGCUUACCAAGGCAACGAUGCAUAGCCGACCUGAGAGGGUGAUAGGCCACACUGGAACUGAGACACGGUCCAGACUCCUACGGGAGGCAGCAGUAGGGAAUCUUCCGCAAUGGGCGAAAGCCUGACGGAGCAACGCCGCGUGAGUGAUGAAGGUCUUCGGAUCGUAAAACUCUGUUAUUAGGGAAGAACAUAUGUGUAAGUAACUGUGCACAUCUUGACGGUACCUAAUCAGAAAGCCACGGCUAACUACGUG
Molecule: ribosomal RNA, 497 nt
Filed under: uncultured bacterium
Lineage: Bacteria
Description: partial 16S ribosomal RNA
Rfam family: Bacterial small subunit ribosomal RNA
Source: RNAcentral